AAGUCGUAACAAGGUUUCCGUAGGUGAACCUGCGGAAGGAUCAUUAACACGUAUCCACGUAUCAACCAAUGUGAACUCGUUUUCAGUCUCCCUUGGAGGCGCCAUGAGUUGGAAGAGGAGGAGCGAUCAGAGUGGGAACCGGCAACGGAUCCGUCGCUCCCCUCCCAUUAUACAACUGUAGGCGGCUCCGAGAUUCUUUCUGGCUGUGUUUGCCACUCUCUGGCGUGCGCGGUUGGAUUCAUCAUUAACAAAUUUCACCCCACUUUUGCUAGUUGACUUUAUCUAUGUGACUCAGCCUCGGCUGUCUCCACGUUUAUUUACUUAAACAAUAAAACAACUCUUAGCAAUGGAUAUCUUGGUUCUC
Molecule: unclassified non-coding RNA, 364 nt
Filed under: fungal sp.
Lineage: Eukaryota; Fungi
Description: partial internal transcribed spacer region
Rfam family: Eukaryotic small subunit ribosomal RNA (bases 1-46)
Source: RNAcentral